ACGUAGGAGGCGAGCGUUGUCCGGAAUUACUGGGCGUAAAGAGCGCGUAGGUGGCGCGAUACGACCGGUGUGAAAUCCUCCGGCUCAACUGGAGGGGGUCACUGGUAACGGUCGUGCUUAUGAGUGCAGGAGAGGGACGUGGAACUCCGGGAGUAGCGGUGAAAUGCGUAGAGACCCGGAGGAACACCAGUGGCGAAGGCGGCGUCCUGGCCUGCGACUGACGCUGUGGCGCGAAAGCUAGGGGAGCGAACGGGAUUAGAUACCCCGGUAGUCCUAGCCGUAAACGAUGGACACUAGGUGUGCGUGGUAUCGACCCCACGCGUGCCGGCGCUAACGCAGUAAGUGUCCCGCCUGGGGAGUACGGCCGCAAGGCUA
Molecule: ribosomal RNA, 375 nt
Filed under: uncultured bacterium
Lineage: Bacteria
Description: bacterial SSU rRNA
Rfam family: Bacterial small subunit ribosomal RNA
Source: RNAcentral